Molecule: ribosomal RNA, 253 nt
Filed under: uncultured bacterium
Lineage: Bacteria
Description: partial 16S ribosomal RNA
Rfam family: Bacterial small subunit ribosomal RNA
Source: RNAcentral
CAGAGGGUGCAAGCGUUUAAUCGGAAUUUACGUGGGCGUAAAGCGCACGUAGGCGGUUUUUAAGUCAGAUGUGAAAGCCCGGGCUCAACCUGGGAUUGCAUUUGAAACUUGGGAACUAGAGUGUGUGAGAGGGGGUAGAAUUCCAAGUGUAGCGGUGAAAUGCGUAGAGAUUUGGAGGAAUACCAGUGGCGAAGGCGGCCCCUGGCACAACACUGACGCUCAGGUGCGAAAAGCGUGGGGAGCAAACAGGAUU